GACGAACGCUGGCGGCGCGCUUAACACAUGCAAGUCGAACGGAAAGGCCUGCUUUCCCUUGUGGAUUGCGGGUACUCGAGUGGCGAACGGGUGAGUAACACGUGAGUGAUCUGCCCCCAACUUGGGUAUAAGCCUGGGAAACUGGGUCUAAUUCCCGAUAGGACUGCAGGGUGGUGCCUGUGGUGGAAAACGAUUUUCUAGUGGUUGGGGAUGAGCUCGCGGCCUAUCAGCUUGUUGGUGGGGUAAUGGCCUACCAAGGCGGCGACGGGUAGCCGGCCUGAGAGGGUGGACGGCCACAUUGGGACUGAGAUACGGCCCAGACUCCUACGGGAGGCAGCAGUGGGGAAUAUUGCACAAUGGGCGGAAGCCUGAUGCAGCGACGCCGCGUGGGGGAUGACGGUCUUCGGGUUGUAAACUCCUUUCGACCGCGAGGAAGCCACCUGGUUGGAAGGGUGGUGACGGUAGUGGUAGAAGAAGCACCGGCUAACUACGUG
RNAcentral lists this ribosomal RNA (494 nucleotides) under uncultured bacterium. RNAcentral describes it as "partial 16S ribosomal RNA". It matches the Rfam family "Bacterial small subunit ribosomal RNA", at positions 28 to 507 of the family's 1533-position model. The record is from RNAcentral.